UACGGAGGGUGCAAGCGUUAUCCGGAUUCACUGGGUUUAAAGGGGGCGUAGGUGGGUUGGUAAGUCAGUGGUGAAAUCUCCGAGCUUAACUUGGAAACUGCCAUUGAUACUAUCAGUCUUGAAUAUUGUGGAGGUCAGCGGAAUAUGUCAUGUAGCGGUGAAAUGCUUAGAUAUGACAUAGAACACCAAUUGCGAAGGCAGCUGGCUACACAUAUAUUGACACUGAGGCACGAAAGCGUGGGGAGCGAACAGG
Molecule: ribosomal RNA, 253 nt
Filed under: uncultured bacterium
Lineage: Bacteria
Description: partial 16S ribosomal RNA
Rfam family: Bacterial small subunit ribosomal RNA
Source: RNAcentral